RNAcentral lists this transfer RNA (75 nucleotides) under Brevibacillus laterosporus. RNAcentral describes it as "tRNA-Asn". It matches the Rfam family "tRNA". Rfam says of the family: Transfer RNA (tRNA) molecules are approximately 80 nucleotides in length. Their secondary structure includes four short double-helical elements and three loops (D, anti-codon, and T loops). Further hydrogen bonds mediate the characteristic L-shaped molecular structure. tRNAs have two regions of fundamental functional importance: the anti-codon, which is responsible for specific mRNA codon recognition, and the 3' end, to which the tRNAs corresponding amino acid is attached (by aminoacyl-tRNA synthetases). tRNAs cope with the degeneracy of the genetic code in two manners: having more than one tRNA (with a specific anti-codon) for a particular amino acid; and 'wobble' base-pairing, i.e. permitting non-standard base-pairing at the 3rd anti-codon position. The record is from RNAcentral. Lineage: Bacteria; Bacillati; Bacillota; Bacilli; Caryophanales; Paenibacillaceae.
UCAUCGGUAGCUCAAUAGUGGAACACCCGGCUGUUAACCGGUAGGCUGGCGGUUCAAGUCCAUCCUGAGGAUCCA